AGGCCCUGAAGGUUCCUGGAUGACUAGACUGGUGGAAGUGAUGGAGGACUGACUCACUGGAGGAAAAGCUCCCAGGGCCCCACAGCACCUCCCAACUACUUCAGGCCGUGUUCCCACACCGCCACAAAUCAGAGAUGCCCUCACUGACACACCUGCAGCUGUUUUCCAAUUAGUGCCGUUUUUAAGACGCCAGAUUGUUCCUCUUUCGCGCUACAUCAGUCCAAUCUUCCUGCCUCAAGUACGUUUCAUCACGGUUAAAGUAUUCCUAUUCCUGUUUCUGUAUCUUUUAUAAAACUACACAGAGCACUGUGACUGAAUGAAGUUUUUCUGUGUAAUGACUAGUUCUGUAAAUAGUAAUAUAAAGGUCCGUAGUAUACAUUUGCAGUACUUUGCUUUCGUUCUUCAGUUGGCUGGUUAGGUCUCAUUUAAAAGUCAAAUCCUCCCAAGAAUCGAUAUACUGUGCAGGAUGGAGCGGCCCACUGAUGCACGUGUUGACAUGAAGAGAAACAUUUCGAGUCUGCACACACAAACAGCCCCUGUGCAGCGAAACACGGCUGUUCCAUUUACGUGGUUGCAUCGCCUGUACGGGGCAUUGCAAUCACAAAACUAUUUGUCCUUCCAUUGUCUCAUAUAAGACUUGAACUGGACAAAUGAGUAUUUGGAGUAUAUGAGUAUAUGAGUAUUUUAUGGGUUUGGACAACAGUGGAACCCGUUGAAGUUAACAUGCUUCAGAUUGUAAUGGUAAUGGUAAUGGUAAUGGUAAUGGUAAUGGUUUUAUUUCAUUUGAACAUGCAUCAGAUUCCAAUUGAGUGCAUCCCAUAAUCAGUUCCCAGUUCCACAUGUCCAAAAGGAGUAGGAAGAAGCAAAGCUUAUUAAAUCCUACCCCUCCACCUGGUACUUUUACAAUCAGUAACUGUUACAUUUGUUCACUUCCUGCUUUCCAUAAUAUAAUUUGAGUUUUUAUUUUAUUUUUUUUAUUAAAAUUUUUUUUAUGGUUUUAUUUCAUUUGAACAUGCAUCAGACUCCAAUUGAGUGCAUCCCAUAAUCAGUUCCCAGUUCCACAUGUCCAAAAGGAGUAGGAAGAAGCAAAGCUUAUUAAAUCCUACCCCUCCAUCUGGUACUUUUACAAUCAGUAACUGUUACAUUUGUUCACUUCCUGCUUUCCAUAAUACAGUUAAAGGGUUUUUGGGGUUUUUCUUUUAAAUUUUGUAAUUUUUUGUCCCGUACCGAAGUACUCGGUGAUAUGAUCAUCCAAUGCCAUAAUGUGUACCAUAGUGCGUGUCAAUAUAGUGAUAUAUAUAGCACAUCAUGACUGGUUCAAGACUCUUCAUCCUUGUAUUUAGCAAACAUCAACUGCUUGUAUUGUUUCUUGAAUUGGCUCAUCGUUGUGCAUUGUUUGAUUCCCUUACUCAAUCCAUUCCAUAGUUUGAUUCCACAUACUGAAAUGCUAUGGCUAGCAUAACGUAGUCCUAGCAUAGAAGUGUUUCAAAUGUACUUCUUCCCUGAGAUCAUAUUUCUCCUCUCUUGUAGAGAAGUAUUGGAUGACAUUUUUAGCUAAUUGGUUGUUUUUAGCCUUAUGCAUUAUUUUAGUCGCACUUGGAACUACACACUGGAGAGAAACCGUUUCCAUGUACAGUGUGUGGCACAACAUUCCUAAAUAAAAGUUACUUAAUGCGACACACAAGAAUUGUCUGACUCAGGUUAACAUAACAUAAGCGGUUGUCGCCAUAACACAUUUAUUUGUGACUUUGAACAGCAACAUAAGGAAAAGGGUUGAUAAAGGAUUUUUUAACUUCCUGAAUGUUAGUUUCUUGGGAUUGUUUUUAUACUUCAAAUGAAACUUUAUUCAUAAAGCAUAUACGUAUGAAUAUAUACACACAUAUGUAAAAUGCCACCCAAAGUGCUUUACG
This is a long non-coding RNA of Doryrhamphus excisus (bluestripe pipefish), 1910 nucleotides long. RefSeq lists it as uncharacterized. Lineage: Eukaryota; Metazoa; Chordata; Actinopteri; Syngnathiformes; Syngnathidae. The record is from RefSeq and is a predicted model, not a curated record.